UCUAUUUUAUUAUUCAGUCUAUUUAAGUUAAAUGAUUACUUUUAGUCAAGGGUGACAAUGGAGUAGGGCGAGUGCUGGGCCUGAUGGGUUUAGACAUGAAAGGGGUGGUGCAAGUUUAUUCUUUGUCCUUCAUUCUUCCUCUCUUGGCAGUGAUGCUUUCUAUUCGAAGACCUAUUUUUUUAUUUGUCACCAUAGUCCAAUUCAUGCUAUUUUUAUCGACAUUAUUUUCCCAAUCAAAGCAGCUGUAACACCAUUGUUUUCAACAAUUAGUUGUUGCCCAGAAUUUCUAGUUGCAUUCUAUCACUACUAGAAUUUUCAACUUGCAUAUAGUAUUCUCAUAUUACUUUGAAUCUGAAUCUUUUUCUUUUCCAUCAUGACUUUCUAACACCUCCACAACUUUAUUUAGCCUUGAUUUCUGUCCAGAAUUGAUGUGUGAUGCAAUGACCAAAGCCAUUAAAAUACCCAUGCAUUGUCCUAAAUUUUCACCUGAUGCACGAGCAACAUUAUCACCUAGUUCCUCCCUCAUACAGGUAAGUGAAGCAUCAACUACAUCGACAUUAGUAAUCAUUUGAUCUGCUUUGCAACUUUGGAUUGCUCUUUAGCUUUUCUUUUCUUAUUUAAAAAAUCUCAUGUAUCACCAUGUAAUGGUUUAGUUUUACCUUAGAAUAAUAAUGCAAUCAGUUGAUCGAUUAUUUCAUUAGCAUCGCUAAUUAAAUUAUCACCAUAUAUCUGAUCUUCCUCAGCUAAACCAUUUUUCACCAAUUUCAACUUCAAAUGACAUUCAUUAAUCUUAUGUUCCUAGUGUUUAAAUUAAUUGCAGUGGCUAGGAAGAUUGUCAGAUACACUCUUUUACCAUUUAGAAUGAAUUGCACCAGUUGUGAUGUCUUUAAAAAAUUGGAAACCUUCAAGAAGAUUAGUUAAUAAAUUCACCUUGACUUUAAUCCCUGCAGUCCCAGGCCUUGACUUAAUAGAAAUAGCCUUGUAUACUUAAAGUGGCUUACCUAUAGCAAAAGCAAUGGAGUAUAUUGCCUCACAAGCAAAAUAUUAUGGAGGUAAGCUAUAAUACCCCACAUUUUUAGCAAGAAAUCAAACAUUCAUUCCUACAUAUGUAAACUCUAAUCCCUUGAUUUAAAUUUGAAUACAUGUGUUAUGAUCAUUAUCCUAGUGUGAAGAGUGUUUAUUAGGUGAACAAUAUUCAUAGAAAUCACUUAGAGCAAAGUUGAGCUAAGAGGCUUUGAUUCGGUCAAAUUUUGGUAUUCGAUUCUACAAGGAUCAACUUUGAACAAGUAUAACUUUUAUAUAUGUGACAUCUCAAUACCCACCAAAUUAUAAAUAAUUGAAUUAUCUUUUCAACGACACCAAAUUCUCCUUAAUCCAAUACUCGAGCAAAAAGUUAUGACCAUUUUUGUGAGAGACAGUAAGGGUCCGCAAUAGCUCUGCGAUGUGGACCUUAGACCCCACGUUAACCUCCGCGAUGCGGAAGAUAUUCUUCUUUCAUCUAUAUUAAUAAGCCCAAAGGGAAUUUUAGUCAUUUCCCCUUACCCCCAAGCACCCAAGUGAUGGAUUAAAACCCCAAAAGGGCAUUAUUUACCCACUUUUCAUCAUUAAACACUUAUGUAAACCCUUCCCUUCCCAAGAAUAAGAAAUUUAAGCUUUAUUCCUCAAGAAUUAAACUUCCAAUUUCAAGCUUUCUUCAAGAAGUUAUCUAAUUGAGGUAUGUGGUGUUUUGAACAAGGUUAAUCUUUCAUCCCUGUGCCUGAAUAAAUGAUUUUUAAGUUGAAUUUACAUGUUUUAAGUUAGAGUUUAUUCCUAAAUCCUCAUGUGUUGAAAGCAUCGCAUUGCCCUGUCAUUUAAAGGAUUAAAGAACAUAAGAGUUGUACUUGUUCAUGUUUUAAACUACAAAUUUGAUGUGUUGUCUUAAAUUUCAUCAUUUUGAUGAAAAAUUAUUAUUCUCCUAAGUUUAAUACAUCUCCAUGCUUAAAUCCAUGUAUUAUAGUCAUGUACUGAAUUGUCUAAUGUUUUGAGUCUCUAAAUUAUGACUUCAUAUUAUUGUUUUAAGAAUUUGUUUUCGUAUUUCAGUAAUCAUUCAGUGCUGGCAGGUUAUGAACACCCGAUACCUACAUGUUUACUUAUAUUUUAGACUUUUCAAGUAAUGAGUCAGUCAACUCAUGAUUUCAGUGUUAAACACAGUUUGUUACGAUCUUAUUGACCACUAUCAAUUUACACAUUUAUGAUUACUUCAUAUCCUAUAUACACUAUUAUUUUCAAAAUACCAUGACCUGAGCUUAUCAGUUAUUAGUGCAUAGACUAGUUAGUGUUACAGUGUCUUUUAGUUGGGAGUAGGAUGUAUCACCGAGUGAAAAGUAUGGGUUCAGCACAUCCUACUUCCCUUGAAAUUACGCACCACCAUAGGUUUAGAGGCCUUGCCAAAGAGUGCUUCCCCUUUCCUAAUAUAGGCUCUAUUUAGUGAUCACUCCAAUUCAGGUUCUAUUCUAAUGGAAAGUAUAGAAUAGCCCUACUCAACGUGGGUUAGAUGUUGGACUCCAUGAUAGCUCACAUGAUUUAUAUCAGUUACAUGAUAGCUCCCAUAGUUUCAGUCAAUAUUCAGUUUAGAUUUGCUUGACCAAGUAAUCAGAUUUCAGUAAUUAUUUAGUUAGUUUUACAGAUCAUUCAUGUUGUUCAGAUCAUUUCAUUACAUGCUAUACUUGGUCUUGUAUUUUCAGUUUUACAAGAUUAGUUUUGUAGCAUGUUCAGCAUGACAUGAGAUUCAUAUUCAGUAUUCAUAUUUUACCGCCUCCCAGCUUUAGUUCUACUUAUUCUACAAAAUUAAAGAUUUAAAAAACUAAGUGUAGUGAUUCACCAGCUUAUCAGAUUAUGUUUGUUACUCAUGUUUUAAGAUACUUCAGCUUAUAGUUGAUUUCAGUUCCAUGGUGAGUCUACUUGCAUUUAGUAUGCAUGUUUUAAGAUUAUAUAUCUAUUCAGUUCUAUUUAUUGCAUUCCCCCUACUUACUCAGUACAUUCCAGAAGUGUUGAUCUACAUAUAUGUCUAUGUGCUACAUUGUCUAAUAAUGUAGGUACCAGUUGUAGCCCACACAUCAUAAUCAGACAGGUCGCAGCUUCCAGCCAGUAGGUGAUUAGUUUUCUUAUUUCGGGGACUCUAGUCAGUUGUAGUUUAUGUACUAUAUUGUUAUUAUUCUUAUGUAUUAAUUUGUGGUAGUUGGAGGCAUGUACCAGCCACCUACAAUCAGUAUAGUAG
RNAcentral lists this long non-coding RNA (3256 nucleotides) under Capsicum annuum. RNAcentral describes it as "long non-coding RNA (CANN_LNC014323)". The record is from RNAcentral. Lineage: Eukaryota; Viridiplantae; Streptophyta; Magnoliopsida; Solanales; Solanaceae.